ACCUACGGGGGGCAGCAGUGAGGAAUAUUGGUCAAUGGUCGGGAGACUGAACCAGCCAAGCCGCGUGAGGGAGGAAGGUACAGAGUAUCGUAAACCUCUUUUGUCAGGGAACAAAGGCGGGGACGUGUCCCCGGAUGAGUGUACCUGAAGAAAAAGCAUCGGCUAACUCCGUGCCAGCAGCCGCGGUAAUACGGAGGAUGCGAGCGUUAUCCGGGUUUAUUGGGUUUAAAGGGUGCGCAGGCGGUCUGUUAAGUCAGCGGUCAAAGCCCGGGGCUCAACCCCGGCCCGCCGUUGAAACUGGCAGU
Molecule: ribosomal RNA, 305 nt
Filed under: uncultured bacterium
Lineage: Bacteria
Description: bacterial SSU rRNA
Rfam family: Bacterial small subunit ribosomal RNA
Source: RNAcentral